UAAACUGAACUUAUAUUGUUCCAAUGCAUGUCCCAUUAUCAUCGAAAGAAGGAGGGCAGUUUUAGCUGUGAUUACCAUUUAGACAUAUUUUGAUGCUAAGGGCUCACAUAUAAGUCAAACACCUGCCAGGAGAGCCUUGAUGUGUGAUAAGAAACCCCAUCCAGUAGAGGUGCUCAGUGGGAUUUGCCACCUAAUGGGAAUGUAAGGGCAUCAUGGCUCCUUAAAUCAUUGUCCAAUGUGAUCAUAAAGGGCUUCAGUGUCUAAGAAUCAUUAUUCCCAAUAGAUCUAAAUCAACUCUGAUCAACACUACUUGGCUGGAGGCAGCUUUGAGAUGUUUGCAAAGGCAUUUGCACACUUGGUGCAUCCCAGGUAGAUUUCUGGGUCCUAUUUCAAGGAUUUGGUUAAAGCCUGUGCAAUGUCCAUGUCUCUCCUCCCAUCAGGACCCCAGAUGGGACUUUUUCUAGUUUUUAAAGUACACUGAAGACUAUAUUCCAAAGUUUCUUUGUGCUGGCUUCAACCCGGUCACCUCAAGUUUUUGUUUUCUGAUUUUGCUCAACUUUACAUGGAAUUUUUUUUCAUUUUGUUUAUUCAAUGCCCCCAAGUUCUAUUUGCCACCUUGUAUGAUUUCUCAAGUUUAUUUCAGUAGAAAAUAAGACUAGUGGGGGGGAUGGGGUUAAACUAAAUUGAUGAAAAAAUAUGUAGAAUCUGUCAUUUCCCCAAGUUGUGAUUUCCUUAAAAUCAUUUGCAAAAGUAAACAGAGGAUGGUCCAUUAUUCUGUGCCCAGCCUAUAUGAAAGUCGACAACAUCAUACAUGGGGCUCUUCA
RNAcentral lists this long non-coding RNA (824 nucleotides) under Marmota monax (woodchuck). Lineage: Eukaryota; Metazoa; Chordata; Mammalia; Rodentia; Sciuridae. The record is from RNAcentral.